Molecule: ribosomal RNA, 445 nt
Filed under: uncultured bacterium
Lineage: Bacteria
Description: partial 16S ribosomal RNA
Rfam family: Bacterial small subunit ribosomal RNA
Source: RNAcentral
GUAGGGAAUAUUGGGCAAUGGAGGCAACUCUGACCCAGCCAUGCCGCGUGCAGGAAGACGGUCCUCUGGAUUGUAAACUGCUUUUGAAUGGGAAGAAACGCACUUUUGCGAAAGUGUUUGACGGUACUAUUAGAAUAAGCACCGGCUAACUCCGUGCCAGUAGCCGCGGUAAUACGGAGGGUGCAAGCGUUAUCCGGAUUUAUUGGGUUUAAAGGGUGCGUAGGCGGCUUGAUAAGUCUGGGGUUAAAGGCGGCAGCUUAACUGUACGCAUGCCCUAGAUACUGUUGAGCUUGAGUGACCUGGAGGUAGCUGGAAUUCCCUGUGUAGCGGUGAAAUGCAUAGAUACGGGGAGGAAUACCGAUUGCGAAGGCAUGUUACUACGGGUAAACUGACGCUGAUGCACGAAAGCGUGGCGAUCAAACAGGAUUAGAUACCCUGGUAGUCC